GUGGGGAAUCUUCCGCAAUGGGCGAAAGCCUGACGCAGCCAUGCCGCGUGGAUGAUGAAGGUCUUAGGAUUGUAAAAUCCUUUCACCGGUGAAGAUAAUGACUGUAGCCGGAGAAGAAGUCCCGGCUAACUUCGUGCCAGCAGCCGCGGUAAUACGAAGGGGGCUAGCGUUGCUCGGAUUUACUGGGCGGAAAGGGCGCGUAGGCGGACAUUUAAGUCAGGGGUGAAAUCCCGGGGCUCAACCUCGGAACUGCCUUGGAUACUGGGUGUCUUGAGUAUGAGGGAGAUGUGUGGAACUCCGAGUGUAGAGGUGAAAUUCGUAGAUAUUCGGAAGAAAGCCAGUGGCGAAGGCGACACACUGGAUCAUUACUGACGCUGAGGCGCGAAAGCGUGGGGAGCAAACAGGAUUAGAAACCCCGGUAGUCC
RNAcentral lists this ribosomal RNA (425 nucleotides) under uncultured bacterium. RNAcentral's name for it is "partial 16S ribosomal RNA". It matches the Rfam family "Bacterial small subunit ribosomal RNA", at positions 354 to 796 of the family's 1533-position model. The record is from RNAcentral.